Molecule: long non-coding RNA, 922 nt
Organism: Oncorhynchus tshawytscha (Chinook salmon)
Lineage: Eukaryota; Metazoa; Chordata; Actinopteri; Salmoniformes; Salmonidae
Source: Ensembl
GAGUAGACGUGACAAGAAGUUGAUCGUAAAGAUUUGGUUGAUUCCAUCUAUCAAACAGGUGGAGGUGACAAAGGUGAUGGGACAUUCAGUGGCCUACUCCCCUUCUAUGGUGGGUCCUCACUCUGGUGGUCAAAUAUGCCAAUGAAGAGGCAUUCUCUAGUCCAGUUGUGUUCCAAGUGUUGCCUACUAAUGAUGCCAACAAGUUGCACGUGUCUGGAUCAGGCUUGGAGUCAGGAAUUUGUGCCCACAUUCCUCAGACCUUCACCAUUGACUGUAGCAAGACUGGAGAGGCCCCAAAAUCUGUGGCUGUCAUGACACCUAGUGGUAAUAUAGAGCUUGCAAAGGUGACAAAGAAUGGAUGGGACAUACUUAGUGUGCUACUCCCCUUCCAUGGAUUCUCUGGUGGCCAGAUGAAGAUGAGUUUCAUAGGUAACUCAGUAGGAUUUCAUAUUUUAGAUGCCGUUGUUAAUGUAGACCAGUCACAUUGUCAUUUUGUGAAAAAUUCAACUAGAUUUUUCUGUAUUUAACUGUAUUGCAGUCUCUAAAACUUCCAAGUUUGUGUGGGCCAGGCUUGCAGUCAGGAAUUUGUGCAAUGUUCCCUCCGAUAUUCACAAUUGACUGGAGAGACCAUCUCUUGACCAUCACUUUUGUGUGCCUUUUUGACCAGUAUGUUUCAGUUCCUUGUCUUGUGCUCUCAUGAUGCCAGUAAAGUGAGAGCCAGAGGUCUGGGCCUGGUAUCUGGGUUACCUGCCAGCCUAUCGUCACAAUUCACCAUAGAUGCUAUGAUGUAGGAGAGGGCCAUUAAUCAGUGAAGAUUACUGUGAGUUAUAAAUUAUGAUUUACGUAAGAGCCAUAUUAUAAGCUUGAACCCCUUGUGGAGGCCACAGUCUAAGGUUUUAUCACCAGCACAUUUUAUGUCGCA